UAGGGAAUCUUCCGCAAUGGGCGAAAGCCUGACGGAGCAACGCCGCGUGAGUGAUGAAGGUUUUCGGAUCGUAAAGCUCUGUUGCCAGGGAAGAAUGCUUGGGAGAGUAACUGCUCUCAAGGUGACGGUACCUGAGAAGAAAGCCCCGGCUAACUACGUG
Molecule: ribosomal RNA, 160 nt
Filed under: Paenibacillus sp. 2003_NPK(17)
Lineage: Bacteria; Bacillati; Bacillota; Bacilli; Caryophanales; Paenibacillaceae
Description: partial 16S ribosomal RNA
Rfam family: Bacterial small subunit ribosomal RNA
Source: RNAcentral